UGGACAAGUGCGGCGGGUAGCAGGAGUAUUGCUGACGAUUUGAAAGGUAGUACCAGUGUGCGGUGCCUCGUGUGUUCGGUGAUGCGAAGUGCGUGGGUAUGGUGAUUGUGUGUGGCUUUGGUGACAUGUAGCGGGUGAAAAGGAGUACAUAAAUACCCAGAAUAGCGAAAUGUCUUAGUAUUUAUGCCUUCUGGAUCAACUUGGUGGCAAGACGUGUUCCUGGACUGUGUGUCGCAGCUUGAAGACAAGGCACGGGAAGAAAGGCAACUUAUUCAUGCAGUCUGGGUCAGUUGCAAGGUGUUGAGGAAGACCUGACUCCAUGUUACCACCAACUAAACAAGAUUCUGAAGGUGAUGGAUGACUGGAGGAGACUGCGUAGAUGAAGAGACGAAGAAAGUGUAGAAGAACGGAAAGAAGAAUGGAAUAAAGAGACAACAACAAAAGUUUUGAGGAAUCAUUGACGAAUUGAGAAGAUAAGAGACAAUAAAGAAGAAACAAUAAGGAAUAGACCAAAGGGAAGAUAAAAUAAGGAAGAAUCAUUGAGGACUUCAGUGGGCAAUGAUAAAGAAGACAUGGAGAAUCAUUAAUGACUCAAUGAUGAAUAAAGAAAGGAUUAUCCAGCAUGUCAUCGCGAACUUUUAAGUUCGAUAUUGUCAAAAUGUCACCAUUCCCUCAGGACACCAGAGUCUGUAGUCUUCAAUGUCCGAGCAGCAAGGAACACAUCAUGAUCUUAUUCCUGGAUGGAAUCCCAAAAAACAGCAGGAAGCAUUAAAUGUAUUACCUCCACCACCAGCACUCCAGCUGACCAAGGACAGUGCCUCCAAUGGGCCAGAGCAACUGUUUCCAUGAGCUAAAGCUGAACAGCCUGCAGUCGAUGACAGACAGGCAACCAUAUCCAAGGGGGAAGACAGCCGUUGCUCACCAUGCAAGGGAAACACCUUUCUCCCGGUCGGUGUUGGAGCAGGAAUCUCCAGACAGAGGCCUUUUGGAACGUAGCAUUCGUCUUCCCCCACUCUCUGGAGGCAGAACCAAACUUAGUGGUA
Molecule: long non-coding RNA, 1043 nt
Organism: Scylla paramamosain (green mud crab)
Lineage: Eukaryota; Metazoa; Arthropoda; Malacostraca; Decapoda; Portunidae
Exons: 6
Source: RefSeq, a predicted model, not a curated record